RNAcentral lists this ribosomal RNA (785 nucleotides) under uncultured bacterium. RNAcentral's name for it is "SSU rRNA". It matches the Rfam family "Bacterial small subunit ribosomal RNA", at positions 63 to 822 of the family's 1533-position model. The record is from RNAcentral.
CGAGGGGCAUCACAUGAAGUAGCAAUACGGAUGGUGGCGACCGGCGCACGGGUGAGUAACGCGUAUGCAAUCUACCUACAACAAGGGGUAUAACCCCGUUGAAAGACGGACUAAUACCCUAUAAUACAGGGGUUCCGCAUGGGACUAUUUGUUAAACGAUUCAUCGGUUGUAGAUGAGCAUGCGUUCCAUUAGCUGGUUGGUGGGGUAACGGCCCACCAAGGCAACGAUGGAUAGGGGAACUGAGAGGUUUAUCCCCCGACACUGGUACUGAGACACGGACCAGACUCCUACGGGAGGCAGCAGUGAGGAAUAUUGGUCAAUGGACGCAAGUCUGAACCAGCCACGUCGCGUGAAGGAAGACGGCCCUACGGGUUGUAAACUUCUUUUGUAACGGGAAUAAACGUGAGUCACGGGUUGACUUUUUGCAUGUACCUUACGAAUAAGGAUCGGCUAACUCCGUGCCAGCAGCCGCGGUAAUACGGAGGAUCCGAGCGUUAUCCGGAUUUAUUGGGUUUAAACGGGUUGCGCAGGCGGGAGAUUAAGUCGGCGGUGAAAUUUUGCAGCUCAACUGUAAAACGUGCCAUCGAUACUGGUUUUACUUGAGUGUAGAUGAAGUAGGCGGAAUUUGUGGUGUAGCGGUGAAAUGCAUAGAUAUCACGAGGAACUCCGAUUGCGCAGGCAGCUUACUAAACCUACAACCUGACGCUCAGGCACGAAGGCGUGGGGAUCAAACGAGGUAUUAGAUACCCUGGUAGUCCACGCAGUAAACGAUGAUUACUGGUCU